Molecule: long non-coding RNA, 1348 nt
Filed under: Homo sapiens (human)
Lineage: Eukaryota; Metazoa; Chordata; Mammalia; Primates; Hominidae
Description: non-protein coding lnc-GJA1-6:1
Source: RNAcentral
AUGAGCGGGGUCACCCCUUUCCUCCACAGCAAGAUCAGCCACAUCUCCAAGGCACAGAUCUGCUACGAGGGCAUCCUCUGCACCAUCGACACGUAGAACCCCACCGUAGCCCUCGCUAAAAUUCAAUUUUCUGGUACAGAAGAUAGAUCGUCCAAUACCACCUCAAGAUGAACUAUUGUAAUACAUUGUAUUCCAUAGGAGUGACAUUAAAGACCUCACUGUGAGCCACCAAAACCACAGUGUUCUUUGCCUGAAGACCCAGCUAUCCUUCAGUCCUCACUAGGCUCAUCAACUUCUUCAUUCUGGUGCGUGGGGUUCUCAUGGGCCUUUGGGCAGGAUGCUCAUAUACAGUCGGUUCAGUCCAAGCUCCUUAGUUGGGCAGGAGUUUGGUGCCGUUGCUGUUGCUGGAAGCUCUUUGAUAUCGUUUGGAACAGAAACAUCAAACAGUGGUGUCUUACCCCAAAGUAGUAUGGUUGACUCUGCCUUAACACAGGAUACAAGAUCUCUAAAAACACAGUUAUCUCAAGGUCACUCAAGCCCUCAGUUAGACCCUUUGAGAAAAAGCCCAACCACUGAACAAGCAGUGAAGACUGUCUCGGCCCAUUUACCUGCUCCAGCACCUGUUGGGAGAAGGAGCCCUGUAUCAACUAGGCAAUAGAGAUCAAGAGCACUGGUGAGCUGAAGUACACAAUGUUUCAAGACCAGAAAAUGAGCAACUCAGAAAUGAUAGCAAGAGACAAGUAGCUCCAGGUACUCCUUCAGCUCCAAGGAGAGGGCGUGGGGUUCAGCCGGGUAGCAGGGGAAGAUUUCGUAUUCUGCGAGAUGGGCCAAUGAAAUUUGAGAAAGACUUUGACUUUGAAAGUGCAAAUGCACAAUUCAACAAGGGAGAGAUCGACAGAGAGUUUCAUAAUAAACUUAAAAGAAGAUAAACUGAGAAACAGGAGGAGCCUGUAAAUGGUGAAGAUAAAGGUGACCCAGGAGUUGAUACCCCAAAAGUAAAGGAAGUGCUGAUGAAGAAGAUCCACUUGGACCUAACUGCUAGUAGGAAAAAACUAAAUCCUUCUUUGAUAAUAUUUCUUGUGAUGACAAUAGGGAACGGAUAUCAACCUGGGCUGAAGAAAGAAGAUUAAAUGCUGAAACAUUUGGAAUCCCACUUUGUCCAAAUCGUGGCUGUGGGAGACGCAGAGGCAGAGGGAUCUUCGGUUUCUGUGGUGGCAGAGGGCAUGGUGGUAGCAGAUGUGGUACUUUAACCAUCCCUGGAGGAUUUCGCAGUGGAUUCAGAGGAGGUCCUGGGGGCAGGGAGUUUUCGGAUUUCUAAUGUAGGAAAGACAACAAAGUUGCUGUAUAG